RNAcentral lists this ribosomal RNA (252 nucleotides) under uncultured bacterium. RNAcentral describes it as "partial 16S ribosomal RNA". It matches the Rfam family "Bacterial small subunit ribosomal RNA", at positions 524 to 776 of the family's 1533-position model. The record is from RNAcentral.
UACGAAGGGUGCUAGCGUUGUUCGGAAUCACUGGGCGUAAAGCGCGCGUAGGCGGCUUUGCAAGUCAGGGGUGAAAUGCCACAGCUCAACUGUGGAACUGCCUUUGAAACUGCAAAGCUAGAGUGUCGGAGGGGAUAGCGGAAUUCCUAAUGUAGAGGUGAAAUUCGUAGAUAUUAGGAGGAACACCGGUGGCGAAGGCGGCUAUCUGGACGACAACUGACGCUUAGGCGCGAAAGUGCGGGAUCAAACAGG